GCCUUGGUGGCGGAAUUGGUAGACGCGCAGGACUUAAAAUCCUGUGACCAUUAUGGUCGUGCCGGUUCGAUCCCGGCCCGAGGUA
Molecule: transfer RNA, 85 nt
Filed under: Bacteroidales bacterium
Lineage: Bacteria; Pseudomonadati; Bacteroidota; Bacteroidia; Bacteroidales
Description: tRNA-Leu
Rfam family: tRNA
About the family: Transfer RNA (tRNA) molecules are approximately 80 nucleotides in length.
Source: RNAcentral